RNAcentral lists this transfer RNA (63 nucleotides) under Diaphanosoma dubium. RNAcentral describes it as "tRNA-Cys". The record is from RNAcentral. Lineage: Eukaryota; Metazoa; Arthropoda; Branchiopoda; Diplostraca; Sididae.
GACGCUUUAGUUUAUGUAAAACGUAAGAUUGCAAGUCUUAAAAAGUACCUAGUAUAAGUGUCU